RNAcentral lists this ribosomal RNA (2919 nucleotides) under Bacillus anthracis (anthrax bacterium). Its description in RNAcentral is "bacterial LSU rRNA". It matches the Rfam family "Bacterial large subunit ribosomal RNA". The record is from RNAcentral. Lineage: Bacteria; Bacillati; Bacillota; Bacilli; Caryophanales; Bacillaceae.
UAAGUUAGAAAGGGCGCACGGUGGAUGCCUUGACACUAGGAGUCGAUGAAGGACGGGACUAACGCCGAUAUGCUUCGGGGAGCUGUAAGUAAGCUUUGAUCCGAAGAUUUCCGAAUGGGGAAACCCACCAUACGUAAUGGUAUGGUAUCCUUAUCUGAAUACAUAGGAUAAGGAAGACAGACCCAGGGAACUGAAACAUCUAAGUACCUGGAGGAAGAGAAAGCAAAUGCGAUUUCCUGAGUAGCGGCGAGCGAAACGGAACAUAGCCCAAACCAAGAGGCUUGCCUCUUGGGGUUGUAGGACAUUCUAUACGGAGUUACAAAGGAACGAGGUAGACGAAGCGACCUGGAAAGGUCCGUCGUAGAGGGUAACAACCCCGUAGUCGAAACUUCGUUCUCUCUUGAAUGUAUCCUGAGUACGGCGGAACACGUGAAAUUCCGUCGGAAUCUGGGAGGACCAUCUCCCAAGGCUAAAUACUCCCUAGUGAUCGAUAGUGAACCAGUACCGUGAGGGAAAGGUGAAAAGCACCCCGGAAGGGGAGUGAAAGAGAUCCUGAAACCGUGUGCCUACAAAUAGUCAGAGCCCGUUAACGGGUGAUGGCGUGCCUUUUGUAGAAUGAACCGGCGAGUUACGAUCCCGUGCGAGGUUAAGCUGAAGAGGCGGAGCCGCAGCGAAAGCGAGUCUGAAUAGGGCGUUUAGUACGUGGUCGUAGACCCGAAACCAGGUGAUCUACCCAUGUCCAGGGUGAAGUUCAGGUAACACUGAAUGGAGGCCCGAACCCACGCACGUUGAAAAGUGCGGGGAUGAGGUGUGGGUAGCGGAGAAAUUCCAAUCGAACCUGGAGAUAGCUGGUUCUCCCCGAAAUAGCUUUAGGGCUAGCCUUAAGUGUAAGAGUCUUGGAGGUAGAGCACUGAUUGGACUAGGGGUCCUCAUCGGAUUACCGAAUUCAGUCAAACUCCGAAUGCCAAUGACUUAUCCUUAGGAGUCAGACUGCGAGUGAUAAGAUCCGUGGUCAAAAGGGAAACAGCCCAGACCGCCAGCUAAGGUCCCAAAGUGUGUAUUAAGUGGAAAAGGAUGUGGAGUUGCUUAGACAACUAGGAUGUUGGCUUAGAAGCAGCCACCAUUUAAAGAGUGCGUAAUAGCUCACUAGUCGAGUGACUCUGCGCCGAAAAUGUACCGGGGCUAAAUACACCACCGAAGCUGCGGAUUGAUACCAAUGGUAUCAGUGGUAGGGGAGCGUUCUAAGGACAGUGAAGUCAGACCGGAAGGACUGGUGGAGUGCUUAGAAGUGAGAAUGCCGGUAUGAGUAGCGAAAGACGGGUGAGAAUCCCGUCCACCGAAUGCCUAAGGUUUCCUGAGGAAGGCUCGUCCGCUCAGGGUUAGUCAGGACCUAAGCCGAGGCCGACAGGCGUAGGCGAUGGACAACAGGUUGAUAUUCCUGUACCACCUCUUUAUCGUUUGAGCAAUGGAGGGACGCAGAAGGAUAGAAGAAGCGUGCGAUUGGUUGUGCACGUCCAAGCAGUUAGGCUGAUAAGUAGGCAAAUCCGCUUAUCGUGAAGGCUGAGCUGUGAUGGGGAAGCUCCUUAUGGAGCGAAGUCUUUGAUUCCCCGCUGCCAAGAAAAGCUUCUAGCGAGAUAAAAGGUGCCUGUACCGCAAACCGACACAGGUAGGCGAGGAGAGAAUCCUAAGGUGUGCGAGAGAACUCUGGUUAAGGAACUCGGCAAAAUGAACCCCGUAACUUCGGGAGAAGGGGUGCUUUCUUAACGGAAAGCCGCAGUGAAUAGGCCCAAGCGACUGUUUAGCAAAAACACAGCCCUCUGCGAAGCCGUAAGGCGAAGUAUAGGGGGUGACACCUGCCCGGUGCUGGAAGGUUAAGGAGAGGGGUUAGCGUAAGCGAAGCUCUGAACUGAAGCCCCAGUAAACGGCGGCCGUAACUAUAACGGUCCUAAGGUAGCGAAAUUCCUUGUCGGGUAAGUUCCGACCCGCACGAAAGGUGUAACGAUGUGGGCACUGUCUCAACCAGAGACUCGGUGAAAUUAUAGUACCUGUGAAGAUGCAGGUUACCCGCGACAGGACGGAAAGACCCCGUGGAGCUUUACUGUAGCCUGAUAUUGAAUUUUGGUACAGUUUGUACAGGAUAGGCGGGAGCCUUUGAAACCGGAGCGCUAGCUUCGGUGGAGGCGCUGGUGGGAUACCGCCCUGACUGUAUUGAAAUUCUAACCUACGGGUCUUAUCGACCCGGGAGACAGUGUCAGGUGGGCAGUUUGACUGGGGCGGUCGCCUCCUAAAGUGUAACGGAGGCGCCCAAAGGUUCCCUCAGAAUGGUUGGAAAUCAUUCGUAGAGUGCAAAGGCAUAAGGGAGCUUGACUGCGAGACCUACAAGUCGAGCAGGGACGAAAGUCGGGCUUAGUGAUCCGGUGGUUCCGCAUGGAAGGGCCAUCGCUCAACGGAUAAAAGCUACCCCGGGGAUAACAGGCUUAUCUCCCCCAAGAGUCCACAUCGACGGGGAGGUUUGGCACCUCGAUGUCGGCUCAUCGCAUCCUGGGGCUGUAGUCGGUCCCAAGGGUUGGGCUGUUCGCCCAUUAAAGCGGUACGCGAGCUGGGUUCAGAACGUCGUGAGACAGUUCGGUCCCUAUCCGUCGUGGGCGUAGGAAAUUUGAGAGGAGCUGUCCUUAGUACGAGAGGACCGGGAUGGACGCACCGCUGGUGUACCAGUUGUUCUGCCAAGGGCAUAGCUGGGUAGCUAUGUGCGGAAGGGAUAAGUGCUGAAAGCAUCUAAGCAUGAAGCCCCCCUCAAGAUGAGAUUUCCCAUAGCGUAAGCUAGUAAGAUCCCUGAAAGAUGAUCAGGUUGAUAGGUUCGAGGUGGAAGCAUGGUGACAUGUGGAGCUGACGAAUACUAAUAGAUCGAGGACUUAACCA